AUUGAACGCUGGCGGCAGGCCUAACACAUGCAAGUCGAGCGGAUGAAGGGAGCUUGCUCCUGGAUUCAGCGGCGGACGGGUGAGUAAUGCCUAGGAAUCUGCCUGGUAGUGGGGGAUAACGUCCGGAAACGGGCGCUAAUACCGCAUACGUCCUGAGGGAGAAAGUGGGGGAUCUUCGGACCUCACGCUAUCAGAUGAGCCUAGGUCGGAUUAGCUAGUUGGUGGGGUAAAGGCCUACCAAGGCGACGAUCCGUAACUGGUCUGAGAGGAUGAUCAGUCACACUGGAACUGAGACACGGUCCAGACUCCUACGGGAGGCAGCAGUGGGGAAUAUUGGACAAGGGGCGAAAGCCUGAUCCAGCCAUGCCGCGGGUGUGAAGAAGGUCUUCGGAUUGUAAAGCACUUUAAGUUGGGAGGAAGGGCAGUAAGUUAAUACCUUGCUGUUUUGACGUUACCAACAGAAUAAGCACCGGCUAACUUCGU
Molecule: ribosomal RNA, 483 nt
Filed under: uncultured bacterium
Lineage: Bacteria
Description: partial 16S ribosomal RNA
Rfam family: Bacterial small subunit ribosomal RNA
Source: RNAcentral